RNAcentral lists this ribosomal RNA (468 nucleotides) under uncultured bacterium. RNAcentral describes it as "partial 16S ribosomal RNA". It matches the Rfam family "Bacterial small subunit ribosomal RNA", at positions 28 to 507 of the family's 1533-position model. The record is from RNAcentral.
GACGAACGCUGGCGGCGUGCUUAACACAUGCAAGUCGAACGGAAAGGCCCUGCUUUUGUGGGGUGCUCGAGUGGCGAACGGGUGAGUAACACGUGAGUAACCUGCCCUUUACUUUGGGAUAACUUCCGGAAACUGGGGCUAAUACCGGAUAGGAGCUCCUGCUUCAUGGUGGGGGUUGGAAAGUUUCGGCGGUUGGGGAUGGACUCGCGGCUUAUCAGCUUGUUGGUGGGGUAGUGGCUUACCAAGGCUUUGACGGGUAGCCGGCCUGAGAGGGUGACCGGCCACAUUGGGACUGAGGUACGGCCCAGACUCCUACGGGAGGCAGCAGUGGGGAAUAUGGCAGAAUGGGCGGAAGCCUGAUGCAGCAACGCCGCGUGCGGGAUGACGGCCUUCGGGUUGUAAACAGGUUACGCCUGUGACGAAGCGUGAGUGACGGUAAUGGGUAAAGAAGCACCGGCUAACUACGUG